This 215-nucleotide unclassified non-coding RNA is filed under the name Hevea brasiliensis (rubber tree). The record is from RNAcentral. Lineage: Eukaryota; Viridiplantae; Streptophyta; Magnoliopsida; Malpighiales; Euphorbiaceae.
AUCUUAAACUAUCUAGUGUUUUGUAACUACGGUAUUUUGUUCGAUUAAGCCGAACUGAAGGAAGAACAUGAGGAUUCCCAAGGACUCUCCAUUGGAUCCCCAUAUAAAAUUCGCGGUUCUUGGAAAGACUCUCUCACGAAUGGAACAUUGAAAUGUGUUUGAUAAAUUUGUUUAAAAAUAAGAGUUCGUAGGAUUUUUGUGAAAAUUAACAUCAG